UUUCCGAAAGAAGACGUUUUUUUAUUCCUAGAAUACUAAACAGCUAUGAGAUAUAUCCUCUUGGUUGUGGUUGUCCUUGUGGUGCUGGUAGACCAGGCCAAUGGUAACUGUCCCCCAUGUUCCGAAACCACAUGUGUGAGGCCUAAGGGAUGCAGAAGAAGAAACUUCGUAAAAGACACCUGUGGAUGCUGUGAUGUUUGUGGAACUAGAAUCGGGUGACCUUGUUCUGCAAUGACACCAAAGUGCGCAAGGAACAGGUGGUGCAUAAACAUAGUGAAUAAUACCAUGGCGGAGGCCAAGAGACACGUAGUCUUACCUGAUACCUUCGAGGGCGUGUGUGGAAGAAUAAGAGUCUGAAAACCUGAUUAAUACAGUUGUUUCCAUAUCUUGGACCAGAUCUCAGCUCACCACGUAAACAACACACUGUAUUUACACUGAAAUAAGAUUAAAAUAUAACCGAAUCCAA
RNAcentral lists this long non-coding RNA (466 nucleotides) under Haliotis rufescens (red abalone). Its description in RNAcentral is "uncharacterized LOC124136995". Lineage: Eukaryota; Metazoa; Mollusca; Gastropoda; Lepetellida; Haliotidae. The record is from RNAcentral.